RNAcentral lists this unclassified non-coding RNA (491 nucleotides) under Cladosporium submersum. RNAcentral's name for it is "sequence contains 18S rRNA gene, ITS1, 5.8S rRNA gene, ITS2". The stretch from base 161 to 314 matches the Rfam family "5.8S ribosomal RNA". The record is from RNAcentral. Lineage: Eukaryota; Fungi; Ascomycota; Dothideomycetes; Cladosporiales; Cladosporiaceae.
CAUUACAAGAACGCCCGGGCUUCGGCCUGGUUAUUCAUAACCCUUUGUUGUCCGACUCUGUUGCCUCCGGGGCGACCCUGCCUUCGGGCGGGGGCUCCGGGUGGACACUUCAAACUCUUGCGUAACUUUGCAGUCUGAGUAAACUUAAUUAAUAAAUUAAAACUUUUAACAACGGAUCUCUUGGUUCUGGCAUCGAUGAAGAACGCAGCGAAAUGCGAUAAGUAAUGUGAAUUGCAGAAUUCAGUGAAUCAUCGAAUCUUUGAACGCACAUUGCGCCCCCUGGUAUUCCGGGGGGCAUGCCUGUUCGAGCGUCAUUUCACCACUCAAGCCUCGCUUGGUAUUGGGCAACGCGGUCCGCCGCGUGCCUCAAAUCGUCCGGCUGGGUCUUCUGUCCCCUAAGCGUUGUGGAAACUAUUCGCUAAAGGGUGUUCGGGAGGCUACGCCGUAAAACAACCCCAUUUCUAAGGUUGACCUCGGAUCAGGUAGGGAUA